RNAcentral lists this ribosomal RNA (253 nucleotides) under uncultured bacterium. RNAcentral describes it as "partial 16S ribosomal RNA". It matches the Rfam family "Bacterial small subunit ribosomal RNA", at positions 524 to 776 of the family's 1533-position model. The record is from RNAcentral.
UACGUAGGUGGCAAGCGUUAUCCGGAUUUACUGGGUGUAAAGGGCGUGUAGGCGGGAAAGCAAGUCAGAUGUGAAAACCAUGGGCUCAACCUGUGGCCUGCAUUUGAAACUGUUUUUCUUGAGUACUGGAGAGGUAGACGGAAUUCCUAGUGUAGCGGUGAAAUGCGUAGAUAUUAGGAGGAACACCAGUGGCGAAGGCGGUCUGCUGGACAGCAACUGACGCUGAGGCGCGAAAGCGUGGGGAGCAAACAGG